Molecule: long non-coding RNA, 211 nt
Filed under: Pongo abelii (Sumatran orangutan)
Lineage: Eukaryota; Metazoa; Chordata; Mammalia; Primates; Hominidae
Description: lincRNA
Source: RNAcentral
AAUACAGCAGUGUUGAUGGUUGGGUUGAGACACAUUCAGGAGCAAGACAUGAGGAGUUGGUGACACAGAUAUUAUGGAAGGAUAACUGACAGUCUUAAGUUAAUAAUUAUCAAAUAUAUGGCAAUGCUAGACUUUAGUUGAUCAUCGUGCUUCUGGAAAAUAACAAAAGUUGAGAUAUCUGUUCACCAUUUUGUGUGUCCAAGGACCACCU